Molecule: ribosomal RNA, 253 nt
Filed under: uncultured bacterium
Lineage: Bacteria
Description: partial 16S ribosomal RNA
Rfam family: Bacterial small subunit ribosomal RNA
Source: RNAcentral
UACGUAGGGGGCAAGCGUUGUCCGGAAUCAUUGGGCGUAAAGAGCGCGUAGGCGGUCCGGUAAGUCCGCUCUGAAAGCCUGGGGCUCAACCCCGGGAGGCGGGCGGAUACUGCCGGGCUAGAGUCCGGAAGAGGCGAGUGGAAUUCCUGGUGUAGCGGUGAAAUGCGCAGAUAUCAGGAAGAACACCCGUGGCUAAGGCGGCUCUCUAGUACGGUACUGACGCUGAGACGCGAAAGCGUGGGGAGCGAACAGG